AUUUAAGUGAUGGGAGCUCCG
Molecule: microRNA, 21 nt
Filed under: Glycine max (soybean)
Lineage: Eukaryota; Viridiplantae; Streptophyta; Magnoliopsida; Fabales; Fabaceae
Description: gma-miR156ab
Gene: gma-miR156ab
Source: miRBase by way of RNAcentral